UGCCUUUCUUGCUGAGUUCUGGCCCAGCGG
Molecule: non-coding RNA, 30 nt
Filed under: Mus musculus (house mouse)
Lineage: Eukaryota; Metazoa; Chordata; Mammalia; Rodentia; Muridae
Source: RNAcentral